RNAcentral lists this ribosomal RNA (413 nucleotides) under uncultured bacterium. RNAcentral describes it as "bacterial SSU rRNA". It matches the Rfam family "Bacterial small subunit ribosomal RNA", at positions 505 to 916 of the family's 1533-position model. The record is from RNAcentral.
GUGCCAGCAGCCGCGGUAAUACGGAGGUCCCAAGCGUUGUUCGGAUUCACUGGGCGUAAAGCGUGCGUAGGCGGAGAGAUAAGUUUGGCGUGAAAGCCCCGGGCCCAACCCGGAAAUUGCGCUGAAAACUAUCUCCCUAGAGGAUUGGAGAGGAGACUGGAAUUCCUGGUGUAGCAGUGAAAUGCGUAGAUAUCAGGAGGAACACCGGUGGCGAAGGCGAGUCUCUGGACAAUUCCUGACGCUGAGGUACGAAGGCUAGGGUAGCGAAAAGGAUUAGAUACCCUUGUAGUCCUAGCAGUAAACGGUGUGCACUUGCUGUAGGCGGAUUCGACCCCGUCUGUGGCGAAGCUAACGCGUUAAGUGCACCGCCUGGGGAGUACGGUCGCAAGAUUAAAACUCAAAUAAAUUGACGG